RNAcentral lists this unclassified non-coding RNA (333 nucleotides) under soil metagenome. RNAcentral's name for it is "partial contains 5.8S ribosomal RNA, internal transcribed spacer 2, and large subunit ribosomal RNA". The stretch from base 1 to 120 matches the Rfam family "5.8S ribosomal RNA", at positions 35 to 154 of the family's 154-position model. The record is from RNAcentral.
GAUGAAGAACGCAGCGAAAUGCGAUAAGUAAUGUGAAUUGCAGAAUUCAGUGAAUCAUCGAAUCUUUGAACGCACAUUGCGCCCGCCAGUAUUCUGGCGAGCAUGCCUGUUCGAGCGUCAUUUCAACCAUCAAGCCCCAGGCUUGUGUUGGAGCCCUGCGGCUGCCGCAGCCUCCCAAAACCAGUGGCGGGCUCGCUAUCACACCGAGUGCAGUAGUUUACUCUUCGCUCAGGGCGUGUGGCGGGUGCUAGCCGUGAAACCCCCAACUUCUCAAGGUUGACCUCGGAUCAGGUAGGAAUACCCGCUGAACUUAAGCAUAUCAAUAAGCGGAGG